Molecule: long non-coding RNA, 784 nt
Organism: Gorilla gorilla gorilla (western lowland gorilla)
Lineage: Eukaryota; Metazoa; Chordata; Mammalia; Primates; Hominidae
Exons: 5
Source: RefSeq, a predicted model, not a curated record
AUGAUGAAGGGAUGAUGGGUGAGCUACCAAGGCUAACUUUUUCCUGAGGACAUUGAGUUAGGGAAGUGGCCUCUCCUUGAGGGAAGGAGCCAGAUGACUUCUCAGAGAACAACAACCAUAUUCAAAAUAUUCUCAAGUUUCUUUUGUUUCUUCUUGUCUGCAUCUGAUAUCCAGGACAUUAUUCCACAGGAAAAGGUUAACAGGAGAUCAAGAUCGGCCAGAUGCUGGGGAUGCCUUGGUGAAAAAAUUAGAGCAACCCAAAGGAAGUCUUGUGUUCUUGAAAAAGGAAUCAGACAAAUACACAGGAGAACCCCACUAUGAAGCCGGUCAGGUGGGGAGACAGCACCUCCAUUCUCUUUAAGACAGAAAUGUCUAAUUUCUGAGACUCUCUGUCUUGUGGAGCACUGUCAUCUACAUGGACACAGGCAGGAUGGCAGAAGGGUCUGGCUCUUAUCACCUCUGAAUAGCAUGCCAUUCUCUUAGCCUCAUCUAAGAAACAGACUGUAGGGGAAGAGAAGAUCUAGAAUGUUGGUCACCAAUCAAUGGCAGACAUUAUCAGACAAUUUGUGAGCAAGAAAGUCAAGAACUGUGAGCCACCUGCCAUCUUAAUUUGACAUCUAGUCUCACUACUUUCAAGCACCUCCACUUCAAAAUACUCUUACAAGUGAAUCACCAUUGUUAAAUGGAUCUUUGAAGGAAUUUUGACAACUAGACUGAAAACAAUCUAGACAUCUUAGAUAUUUGUGGCUUCACAGAAAAUAAAAUAAAACAACCCUUUUCAGCA